UACGUAGGGGCGAGCGUUGUCCGGAAUGACUGGGCGUAAAGGGCGUGUAGGCGGCUUUAUAAGUCUGGAGUGAAAGUCCUGCAUUCAAUGUGGGAAUUGCUUUGGAGACUGUAGAGCUUGAGUGCGGAAGAGGUAAGUGGAAUUCCCAGUGUAGCGGUGAAAUGCGUAGAGAUUGGGAGGAACACCAGUGGCGAAGGCGACUUACUGGGCCGUAACUGACGCUGAGGCGCGAAAGCGUGGGGAGCGAACAGGAUUAGAUACCCUGGUA
RNAcentral lists this ribosomal RNA (268 nucleotides) under uncultured prokaryote. RNAcentral describes it as "partial 16S ribosomal RNA". It matches the Rfam family "Bacterial small subunit ribosomal RNA", at positions 524 to 792 of the family's 1533-position model. The record is from RNAcentral.